GGAAGGGGUGUAUUUAUUAGAUAAAAAACCAAUGCCCUUCGGGGCUCCUUGGUGAUUCAUAAUAACUUAACGAAUCGCAUGGCCUUGCGCCGGCGAUGGUUCAUUCAAAUUUCUGCCCUAUCAACUUUCGAUGGUAGGAUAGUGGCCUACCAUGGUGGCAACGGGUAACGGGGAAUUAGGGUUCGAUUCCGGAGAGGGAGCCUGAGAAACGGCUACCACAUCCAAGGAAGGCAGCAGGCGCGCAAAUUACCCAAUCCCGACACGGGGAGGUAGUGACAAUAAAUACUGAUACGGGGCUCUUUUGGGUCUCGUAAUUGGAAUGAGUACAAUCUAAAUCCCUUAACGAGGAACAAUUGGAGGGCAAGUCUGGUGCCAGCAGCCGCGGUAAUUCCAGCUCCAAUAGCGUAUAUUAAAGUUGUUGCAGUUAAAAAGCUCGUAGUUGAACCUUGGGUCUGGCUGGCCGGUCCGCCCCACCGCGAGUACUGGUCCGGCUGGACCUUUCCUUCUGGGGAACCUCAUGGCCUUCACUGGCUGUGGGGGGAACCAGGACUUUUACUGUGAAAAAAUUAGAGUGUUCAAAGCAGGCCUUUGCUCGAAUACAUUAGCAUGGAAUAAUAGAAUAGGACGUGCGGUUCUAUUUUGUUGGUUUCUAGGACCGCCGUAAUGAUUAAUAGGGAUAGUCGGGGGCGUCAGUAUUCAGCUGUCAGAGGUGAAAUUCUUGGAUUUGCUGAAGACUAACUACUGCGAAAGCAUUCGCCAAGGAUGUUUUCAUUAAUCAGGGAACGAAAGUUAGGGGAUCGAAGACGAUCAGAUACCGUCGUAGUCUUAACCAUAAACUAUGCCGACUAGGGAUCGGGCGGUGUUUCUAUGAUGACCCGCUCGGCACCUUACGAGAAAUCAAAGUUUUUGGGUUCUGGGGGGAGUAUGGUCGCAAGGCUGAAACUUAAAGAAAU
Molecule: ribosomal RNA, 953 nt
Filed under: uncultured Aspergillus
Lineage: Eukaryota; Fungi; Ascomycota; Eurotiomycetes; Eurotiales; Aspergillaceae
Description: SSU rRNA
Rfam family: Eukaryotic small subunit ribosomal RNA
Source: RNAcentral